GCGCGGGAGAGUGCGACGGGCCUUCCAGGCCGGGCGUCGCCGCCGAAGGAGCAACCACCCCGGAAUCUCUCAGGCACCAUGGACCGCGCGG
This 91-nucleotide non-coding RNA is filed under the name Sphingomonas ginsenosidimutans. Its description in RNAcentral is "Glycine riboswitch". It matches the Rfam family "Glycine riboswitch aptamer", at positions 8 to 87 of the family's 94-position model. Rfam says of the family: This family represents the bacterial glycine riboswitch. Glycine riboswitches usually consist of two metabolite-binding aptamers domains with similar structures in tandem. Lineage: Bacteria; Pseudomonadati; Pseudomonadota; Alphaproteobacteria; Sphingomonadales; Sphingomonadaceae. The record is from RNAcentral.